UACGUAGGUGGCAAGCGUUGUCCGGAUUUACUGGGCGUAAAGAGCGCGCAGGCGGUCGUUCAAGUCGCGUGUGAAAGCCCCCGGCUCAACUGGGGAGGGUCACGCGAUACUGAUCGACUCGAAGGCAGGAGAGGGUAGUGGAAUUCCCGGUGUAGUGGUGAAAUGCGUAGAUAUAUGGAGGAACACCGGUGGCGAAAGCGGCUCUCUGGCCUGUAACUGACACUGAGGCUCGAAAGCGUGGGGAGCAAACAGG
RNAcentral lists this ribosomal RNA (253 nucleotides) under uncultured bacterium. RNAcentral's name for it is "partial 16S ribosomal RNA". It matches the Rfam family "Bacterial small subunit ribosomal RNA", at positions 524 to 776 of the family's 1533-position model. The record is from RNAcentral.